RNAcentral lists this ribosomal RNA (230 nucleotides) under uncultured bacterium. Its description in RNAcentral is "partial 16S ribosomal RNA". It matches the Rfam family "Bacterial small subunit ribosomal RNA", at positions 561 to 790 of the family's 1533-position model. The record is from RNAcentral.
UAAAGCGUGCGCAGGCGGCUUUGCAAGACAGAGGUGAAAUCCCCGGGCUCAACCUGGGAACUGCCUUUGUGACUGCAAGGCUAGAGUACGGCAGAGGGGGAUGGAAUUCCGCGUGUAGCAGUGAAAUGCGUAGAUAUGCGGAGGAACACCAAUGGCGAAGGCAAUCCCCUGGGCCUGUACUGACGCUCAUGCACGAAAGCGUGGGGAGCAAACAGGAUUAGAUACCCAGU